Molecule: ribosomal RNA, 549 nt
Filed under: uncultured Glomus
Lineage: Eukaryota; Fungi; Glomeromycota; Glomeromycetes; Glomerales; Glomeraceae
Description: SSU rRNA
Rfam family: Eukaryotic small subunit ribosomal RNA
Source: RNAcentral
UUGGAGGGCAAGUCUGGUGCCAGCAGCCGCGGUAAUUCCAGCUCCAAUAGCGUAUAUUAAAGUUGUUGCAGUUAAAAAGCUCGUAGUUGAACCUCGGGAUCAAUGGAUCGGUCAUGCCAUCGGUAUGUACUGGUCUCAUUGGUUCUCACCUUCUAAGGAACCAUGAUGUCAUUAAUUUGAUGUUGUGGGGAAUUAGGACUGUUACCUUGAAAAAAUUAGAGUGUUUAAAGCAGGCUAACGCUUGAAUACAUUAGCAUGGAAUAAUGAAAUAGGACGUUUGAUCUUAUUUUGUUGGUUUCUAAGAUCGACGUAAUGAUUAAUAGGGAUAGUUGGGGGCAUUAGUAUUCAAUUGUCAGAGGUGAAAUUCUUGGAUUUAUUGAAGACUAACUACUGCGAAAGCAUUUGCCAAGGAUGUUUUCAUUAAUCAAGAACGAAAGUUAGGGGAUCGAAGACGAUCAGAUACCGUCGUAGUCUUAACCAUAAACUAUGCCGACUAGGGAUCGGAUGAUGUUAAUUUUUUAAUGACUCAUUCGGCACCUUACGGGAAAC